RNAcentral lists this ribosomal RNA (119 nucleotides) under Pteropus alecto (black flying fox). Lineage: Eukaryota; Metazoa; Chordata; Mammalia; Chiroptera; Pteropodidae. The record is from RNAcentral.
AUCUACAGCCAUGCUACCCUGAACAAGCCUGAUCCUGUCUGAUCUCAGAAGCUAAGCAGGGUCAGGUCUGGUUAGUACUUGGAUGGGAGACCACCUAGGAACAUCAGGUGCUGUAGGUG